CAAUAGCGUAUAUUAAAGUUGUUGCGGUUAAAAAGCUCGUAGUUGGAUUUCUGCUGAGAACGACCGGUCCGCCCUUUGGGUGUGUAUCUGGCUCUUUCUUGGCAUCUUCUUGGUGAACGUUGCUGCACUUGACUGUGUGGAGCGCUACCCAGGACUUUUACUUUGAGGAAAUUAGAGUGUUUCAAGCAGGCAUACGCCUUGAAUACAUUAGCAUGGAAUAAUAAGAUAGGACCUCGGUUCUAUUUUGUUGGUUUCUAGAGCUGAGGUAAUGAUUAAUAGGGAUAGUUGGGGGCAUUCGUAUUUAACUGUCAGAGGUGAAAUUCUUGGAUUUGUUAAAGACGGACUACUGCGAANGNAUUUGCNAAGGAUGUUUNCAUUA
This 379-nucleotide ribosomal RNA is filed under the name uncultured eukaryote. RNAcentral describes it as "partial 18S ribosomal RNA". It matches the Rfam family "Eukaryotic small subunit ribosomal RNA", at positions 592 to 975 of the family's 1831-position model. The record is from RNAcentral.